GUAGAGCAUGACUGUAUGUCACUUUGGAUAAAAGUGUCUGCUAAAUGGCAUAUA
Molecule: non-coding RNA, 54 nt
Organism: Salmo salar (Atlantic salmon)
Lineage: Eukaryota; Metazoa; Chordata; Actinopteri; Salmoniformes; Salmonidae
Source: Rfam